AGUGAACGCUGGCGGUAGGCCUAACACAUGCAAGUCGAACGGCAGCACAGUAAGAGCUUGCUCUUACGGGUGGCGAGUGGCGGACGGGUGAGGAAUACAUCGGAAUCUACUUUUUCGUGGGGGAUAACGUAGGGAAACUUACGCUAAUACCGCAUACGACCUACGGGUGAAAGCAGGGGAUCUUCGGACCUUGCGCGAUUGAAUGAGCCGAUGUCGGAUUAGCGAGUUGGCUGGGUAAAGGCCCACCAAGGCGACGAUCCGUAGCUGGUCUGCGAGGAUGAUCAGCCACACUGGAACUGAGACACGGUCCAGACUCCUACGGGAGGCAGCAGUGGGGAAUAUUGGACAAUGGGCGCAAGCCUGAUCCAGCCAUACCGCGUGGGUGAAGAAGGCCUUCGGGUUGUAAAGCCCUUUUGUUGGGAAAGAAAAGCAGCAGGUUAAUACCCCGCUGUUCUGACGGUACCCAAAGAAUAAGCACCGGCUAACCUCGUG
Molecule: ribosomal RNA, 492 nt
Filed under: uncultured bacterium
Lineage: Bacteria
Description: partial 16S ribosomal RNA
Rfam family: Bacterial small subunit ribosomal RNA
Source: RNAcentral